RNAcentral lists this small RNA (587 nucleotides) under Pan troglodytes (chimpanzee). RNAcentral's name for it is "processed transcript". Lineage: Eukaryota; Metazoa; Chordata; Mammalia; Primates; Hominidae. The record is from RNAcentral.
GCUUUCUUUCCAAACAGCAUAAGAAGUGAUUGAGCCACAAGUAUACUGAAGGAAGGGCUCCCUCGAGUUGUGGUGUGAAGAGAUAAAUCACCAGAGAAAUGAUGGCAUCAAAACAAAAAAAGAACUCAUUGUGAAUAAGAAAAAACAUCUAGGCCCCGUCGAAGAAUAUCAGCUGCUGCUUCAGGUGACCUAUAGAGAUUCCAAGGAGAAAAGAGAUUUGAGAAAUUUUCUGAAGCUCUUGAAGCCUCCAUUAUUAUGGUCACACGGGCUAAUUAGAAUUAUCAGAGCAAAGGCUACCACAUACUGCAACAGCCUGAAUGGAGUCCUGCAGUGUACCUGUGAAGACAGCUACACCUGGUUUCCUCCCUCAUGCCUUGAUCCCCAGAACUGCUACCUUCACACGGCUGGAGCACUCCCAAGCUGUGAAUGUCAUCUCAACAACCUCAGCCAGAGUGUCAAUUUCUGUGAGAGAACAAAGAUUUGGGGCACUUUCAAAAUUAAUGAAAGGUUUACAAAUGACCUUUUGAAUUCAUCUUCUGCUAUAUACUCCAAAUAUGCAAAUGGAAUUGAAAUUCAACUCAAAAAAG